GUUUCUGUGAUAGGAUUUGUACCCUACAUUAGGACAACACUAAAUUUUCUUCAUGUCUCUUGGAUGUAUGCCUACUUCUGUUUCGAGUACAAGUGGAACCUUCAUAAUUCAGAUCUGGACAAACGGCUGAACUUUUUUGAAUCUAACUGGGCAUUCUUUUUAGGUUUUGGUAAAGUACUUUCUAACUUUAUUAUUGUUUUUGAGUCAGUUUGUCAUAUAUAUUAUCUUCAAUUUCUGCAGGUUAGGAGUGGUUUAUUUAACAUGAGAAUUCAUACUACUUGUUUCACAUGGUUUCUAUUUUAUUGUUUGAUCAAUAAUUGUGACCUCAAUUUUAAAUUGGUAACUUCUAAGUUAUGUGGCCUUCCUAUGUGAA
Molecule: long non-coding RNA, 373 nt
Organism: Humulus lupulus (European hop)
Lineage: Eukaryota; Viridiplantae; Streptophyta; Magnoliopsida; Rosales; Cannabaceae
Exons: 2
Source: RefSeq, a predicted model, not a curated record